AAGAGACUGGUGCAAUGAAUCACAGCUGUUGAACUAUUUAAGUUCGCUGGAAAAGCAGGGAACACACAAGCCCUGUGAUUUCACCUGAGCAUUUUCAGCUUCGACCAGAGCAUGUCUUCACCAGGACACAUUGCAAGGCACCAUUUCCUACCCCUGGAUCAGACAUGAUCACCUAAUGGUGUGUGAAAUUACUCCAGACUCCUUGAAACUUUCAAACCAAUUAUUUUGUGCUCUUCCUUGUCUAAACAGCAUGCAUGAUGGUCAAGAAAAUGGACGUCAGAGACAAGCAGCCCUGGGACUGAAUUUGAUUUCUACUACGUGUCUACAUAGAAACUUGGGCAAGUUAUUAAAUUUCUUUAUGCUUUCUCUUCUCUUCUUUAAAAAAGAGUCAAUUAUAAAUGACAAUUUAAGGUAAUUCAAUGAAAUAAUGUAUAUAAAAUGUUUUUGCAUGGUUCUGGACAUAUAGCAAGUAUCUAAUAAUUUGUUCCUAUUAUCAAUAGAUGCUGGAGAGUGGGCAUUUGGCAUAGGGGUUAAGAUGCCACUUGAGAUGUCCAGAUCCCUUAUCAGAGUCCCUGGCAUUGAGUACUGGCCCUGCUCCCUAUUCCAGCUUCCUGUUUAUGCAUACACUGGGAGGCAGCAGGUAAUGGUUCCAGUGGUUGGAUCCCUAACAUCCAUGUUGGAGACCCAGAUUGAGUUCCUGGCUUAAUGGCUUCAAACUGAACUUGAGUCUGACUAUUGCAGGCAUUUGGAAAAUGAACCAACAGGUCAACAAGAAUGAACGCUGGAAGGCUUGUGUUGUAGGUGGAGUCUAGCAGGAGGAAGUCACCGCCAGAGAGGGAGCCGAAUGCCCUGACCGGCGGCAGCUGAUGGUUGGGGAUCCUGAAUGGUGAUGCUUCCAAGGUGCCCAAACUGUUUUCACGUCGUCUUCCCAGAGACAGGAGUGAUGAACUCACAGUCCAUUCCUUUGUAACUACCGACUUCUGUAUCUGUGCCAGGUUGCCAGUGUGCCUUAGAAGAGCACCUUAUGGCUCUGCUAAUGGGGCACAUGACAGACUUAGGAGCUCACCACAGCCUGAGCUUGGUGCCUUUCCACACUCUGUGGCUCUUUAUUUGGAACUUCUCCCAUUUUCCACCGUGCAUGCAAAACCUAACUCUGCCUUAUCAACUCUGAGCGGUCAUUCUCCUUCCACCUGUCCAAGAAAAAAAGGUCCUAUGGCAAGAAUUUCCUUAGCCUCCCCCUCUUCAAGAUUUUCUUUACUUUAAAAUCUCUCUUCACUGGCACCCGUGUCUUAUCUUUCAAAUGAGUAAGGCCAUGUUUCUUUUUUCAUGUAGUAAUGUAAUGCCAUCCUCAACUGGAGUACAUUUUCAAGACAAGACGCCAAAAUUCACCUUCAUCCAAUUCUUUGUUAUGCAAUAUGUCUUUCAGGACUUGAAAAAAUCUAUGUGUGCUUGAGUAAAACUUUCUGUACUUUGCUUAUAUUCUGGUUAGCAUAAUUUAAUCUAUGUGCACAUUAGCUCUUCUCAUCUGCCUAAGAUCAGAGUGCUCUCUUCCUGUCUUUCUGGCAUCACCUUGGCUGUCUCUAACAGCCAGUCUCCAAAGAUGAUCCUCAGGGCCGGCGCCAUGGCUCACUUGGUUAAUCCUCCGCCUGCGGUGCCGGCAUCCCAUAUGGGUGCCCGGUUCUAUUCUGGUUGCUCCUCUUCCAGGCCAGCUCUCUGCUGUGGCCCGGGAGUGCAGCGGAGGAUGGCCCAAGUGCUUGGGUCCCUGCACCCGCAUGGGAGACCAGGAGAAGCACCUGGCUCCUGGCUUCGGAUCAGCACAGCGCUGGCCAUAACAGCCAUUGAGGGGGGUGAACCAAUGGAAGGAAGACCUUUCUGUCUCUCUCCCUCUCCCUCUCUCUCACUGUCUAUAACCCUACCUGUCAAAUAAAAAAAAAAUAGGGUUGGUAUAAAAUAAGGUUAAAAAAAAAAAAAAACAAAGAUGAUCCUCAAAGGACCAUACAUCCCAGUAUUUGUAUUUGUGGCUUUGUGUAGCCCAUAUUUUGAAUUUGGAUUGGCCUUGUGACUGUCUAACCAACAGAAUGGAGUGUUAGUGGCACUGUAUCAUUUCUGGGUCCAUGUGGCCAGAAGACCUGGCACCUCUGCCUUUGCACUCCUGAGAUUCAGAUUUAAGAAGUCCACUUAAAGAAACCCAAGCCAACCGCAUGGUGAGAUCCUGUGGGAAUAGAAUGAGAGACGUCUCAGCCUCUCAGCCAAUCUUCCAGCUGCUAGAGGCAAGUGGUGAUGCUGUGCACGAUCCAGCUCAAGCCACCAUCGUCCUUGCGUGUGAUUUAUGUUGGAGCAUCAGAAGACCCAUCCAACUGAGCCCAGCCAGCCCACAGAUUUGUAAGAGAUUAUCAAAUGUAUUUUUUUUGAAUUCACAGGCUUUUAUUUGGGUUCUGCUCCCGGGCGAGGUUCCACGGCCCCAACAGAGCGGGGGCCGGGGAAAUCACGCAUCAGAGAUUGGGAGAGCUCCUUUUAUAGAUUCAGGGCAUGAGAGUUAAAGGUUGAGGCGGGUCUGAUCCUCAUUGGUUGACCUUUAGGCACCCGCAGGGACCUUAACAAGGACUUUCUUCCCCGGAAGUAGGCCUCUCCAUUCCCGGAAGUGUAGGCCUUCCCUCCUUGCGGAUCCCAAAGCUACCAUCCCCACCUUUUGAUGAUAGGAAAGGGGGCGACGAUGAGUCUCUCUGGCUACUUCCUGCUGACUGGGGAUGUCGUCUACAGGGGCCUGCUGGGGGUAUCUUGGUGCUCCGCAGGGACAGGCAUGUAUAGAUGGAGAAGCAUCUGGUUGACUGCCUGGUUGCUGAAGGCCGUGGUUCAUUCCAUUAUCACCUGCUGUAAACAUGUAAACAGACACUGUAGUAUGCAAGUCAGGGUGAGAAUAGCAACCAAUGAACCUAAGAGUGGCAUUAACCAGGUAAUGAGAGGAUUUCAUAGAGGAGAGGAAAUGAGGGUGGUCUCUGGACCCUUGUGAGGAUGGUUUGAUGGAUGUGGUUUAAAUCUGAUCCCAUCCAAGACCGGGAGAAAGGCCACUCAACUUUUGCAGGUAGUGGGGUUUGUCUGUAGAGAAAUUCUGAAUAAUCAUACAACAUUAAGUGGCAGAAAGGACCAUCAGUACACAAAGGUUGAAAGUAGAGUCAACUAAGUUUUCUGAUUGAGAGGCAAAAAGAACCUGACAGAAGGGACUUGAUAAUAAUCUGGUGGGCUUUAGGUCUUGUAAGUUAAGAGGCCCAGACCUGUCUGUCUCUUCACAUAGGGUACAUCCUAAGGGAGGUGUGAACUUCCUUGGGGAAGGCACCCUGCUGACUUCCAUUACCUAGCUGGCCUGGGAGGAGAGCUGGCCAGGUGAAGGCAGGUGGCAUCUCUAACAGGAAAUUUACAGUUCUGCCUGCAGUGUUGCUGACCCUACUUGGCCGUCUCCUCUCAGCAGCAGUGGUCACCUUGGAAGCUGGGCUGAGUGAAGGGCUUUUCAGCUUAGAGCCAAUAAGGUCUGGGGCUCUGACCUGAAGUCCUUCGACUCCAGGGCAGGUCCAUUUCCAGUGAUCCAACUCUUGGCUAGCAGAGCUGCCAGGGCUCUUCACAAGCUGAUUUCUGCUGAAAUCCAGGCUUACCACACUGAAAGCCACUGUAGUGGACUGGCCUGUUGGGACUCCUUGAGGGCAGAUCACUGUACAGAACAGCCAUUAAUAGGCUGCCACCUAUCUUUCCAUUUCUGGUGCCCAGCUUUCUUUUCCUCCUGGGUUUUUGUUAAAGCAGACCAGAGGAUGCAAGUCAAGGGGGUGCUCAAGUCCCAGAUCACUUACUGACAAUAGUAAUAUCAAAUGAAAAUUUAGAAAGCAGUUUCAAUCAUUAGAUAACAAAUACAGCAGUUUCAAUACUAGCAUUUUAAACUCUUUAACUGCUUUUUAAUUUCCCAAUUGAUUCGAAUUACUUUCUGCUCUUAGUAACCUCAGCUAACCAUGCUUUCUCUCAGUUGAUACCUGUAAUACAUUAUUGGCUUCAUCUGUUUGCAGUGCCAUCCCAAAGUACUGAAUACAAUAGAAGUGGCUGGAAAAAGUCCAUCAGAACCUAUAGGAGGACAGCUAAACACAGAACCAACAACACUUUAGUUUUAUGAGCAGCAAAUCUGAUAUAUAAAACUGUGGAUGACAAAAGACUUUAAGUUGCCACAUUUAAAAUUAUAAACUUAUUAUAAACUUAACAAGAGGCACUUGCUUACUUCACAUAGCAUUUUUGAAAACACCUGUAGGAUUUUACAGAACACUUAACUCUUUAGGCCUCUGUGGCUUUCUCAUUAAGAUCCAAGAUUUCUUUCAUAACCUUCUGUGACUUCCACACACCCUCUUCAACUUACUUGAAACAUUCCAUCAUUUCCAUUCCAGUCUAGAGUAAACUAGCCAUCAGGAUGAAGUCAAUCUUACAAACUUUGUCCUUUCUUUAUUCAAAAUAACUCUUUCCUUUUAACCUUCAUUACUAAAUGCACAUUUCUAUAACAUUUUUAACACAAAUUUAACAUGCUGAGUAUACAAGAAUUUACAAUAAAUUAGCAGUUACAUCUGAAUGACUUGAGAUGCUGAUAUGAUAUAUCUCUACUUGAAUUCAAUUAAAAUUAAAAUUAAAAUUGCAUUCAUCUAAAACAAGUACUAAUUACCCAUUGCUGUUUCAUUGAGUACUGAUUACCCGGAAAUAUGGUCCGUAGUCAGCCUGGGGCACCAGACAGGUUCAAGGAGCGAGGGGGCCUCAAACUCAGAAAGGGGAGGCUCGCAACCUCAGCUCCCCGGUUUCAGCACCAUCUGUAAGGUGUCCCGCACGUAACAGAUCUUCCCAGGCAGACGAAUCGAUUAAUUCACAGGCUUUUAUUGGGGUUCUGCUACCAGGUGAGGUUCCACGGUCCCAACAGAGCAACAGAGUGGGGGCUGGGGAAGUCACCCCUCAAAUGUAUUUUUAUUUCAUUUUUCCAUGAACUUAAAUGUUUUAAAAUCUGAAAGGGAGAGAGAGAGAGAGGGACCACAGAGAGAGUUUCUCAACCUCUGAUUUACUUCCCAAAUGCUCACAACAUCCAGGGCUGUGCCUGGGGCCAAAGUUGGGAACCAUGAACCCAGUCUAAAUUUCCCAAAUGGUUUGCAAGGACCCGAACACUUGAACCACCACAGCUGCCUCCCAGGGUCUGCAUUAACAGGAAACUGGAAGCAGGAGCCAGAGCCAAGACUCAAACCCAGACACUCCGACAUGGGACACUGGCUUCUUAAUCAGUAGGCCAAAUGCCCACCCAAAAAUGAUAUUUUAAACUCAGAAGUUUGGUGUGGCUUGUUGAGCAGUAACAUAACUGAGGCCAACUCCCUGCACUAACCUCCUGAUUUCUCCAGAGCCCUGCCAUCACAUCUGUUACCACUGUGCUGCCACGGGCACCCAUUGUUCAUUGAACAAAGGAACAAAUGAACUUCAAGUUGCUAGAAUUCCAAAAUGUAUUUUUGCUGGCACAGUUUGAAUUUCUUUGGGGAAAGGUUUUUGCCAACAUUGAGUUCCAGCUCUGGGCUGCCACUCAAACAUUUCCAGUGAUGUUGUAAUUUUGGCAAAGGUACUUUGCCUGACAUUUCUGUAGACCUCAUUAAUAUUUAAACUACUUUUAUAUAGAUUAGUAGUUCAUCAGAAACACAGGGUGUCAUUUACAAUUAAUGGGUUUUGAUGAUUGUGAACGCCUCGUGUGAUACGGAAGGAAUUCAUGAGUGAGGGUGCGACCAUUCUCCCAGUUUCAGGCUGCUCUGUAAGUACAUAAUUUCUAGCAACGUGUUGCAGGCUUUUGAAAGAAACUGUGCAUGGUCUAUGCCAGGGGAAGCACCAAUUUGAAGGACUGAAGGAGACGCAUAACAAAGUGCUGUAUUUGUUAGCAUUUUUGAGGGACCAGAAUCUUUGUGAAAUUUCAGACGCCAUCCAUUCCUUCGGGCCAGUGCAUACCAAUGUGGUCACACCACAGAUCAGAAUCCAUAGGCUCUUGCCUGCAGAAACACUUCUAGGGAAUUUCUAGUGAGUCCCCAGAAGGGUCUCCUGUCUGCUGUAGCUGGGAGGCCCCCCCUUCGCUGCCCUUUCCCCCUGGGCAUCUGAUGGCAUGGCCGUGACCUCCCAGAGCACUUGUUUUCCCCUAAGUCCAGGCACCAGAACCUUCGUGGGUCAACCUAUCUGCUGUUGCUUUGUUUCACACUGGGUUAGGUGGACACCAUAGUAGCGUUUCUUGGGCACAAAGUUUUACCAAGUUUUCCUGAAACAAAUCUUUCAGAGAGGCUCAGAGAAGAUACAUUCAUAGACACUUGGUGGCAGGCACCAUCCCAUAUCCAGAACUACUCCUGGCCACCACAACCUUGAACUUGCCUUGCCAGGUCACAUGGUGUGGGGAGCAACUGGGACUAGACUGUUACUCGAAUUAAGACUUAUUUUAUGCAUCUGCUCUCCCACAAUAUGGCACUGGGAGAGGAGGAAACAGCUUCUACACAGCUGCCUCCAGUUCAACCAAUAAACAGCAGGACCUGCUCCUGAUUGGAGGAGAGCAGCGUACUCGGCGUGUGGGUAGCAGAGUUGGGAUUGGUGGAAGAGGACUAUAAAGGAGAGAGACAACAUGCACCAGGAACAUCUAAGAGGAACAUCUAUCUGAAGGAACACCUGAGCAGCCCCCAAGAGAGCCAGCCGGCAGUGUGCCACUCCCCCGUGGAAGUGGGGAAAGUGGCUAGGGGGAACCGCCCUUCCACGGAGGUGGAAGGGAUGGUAGCCAACCCGGGAAGAACCAGCAGCAAACCCGGGGAGGGCCGAGCAGACAAAAGAACAGUGCAGGGUUCUGUGUCGUUCCUCCACGAAGACGGGGAGCGACAUAAUGGUGCCGUGACUCGGAUAGGAAACCUAGGAGGGAAGAAACGGGAAGAAGCGGGAAAAUACUGGAGAGAGACUAGCAAAGAGCCUAGGGAAAAGCCGGAUGGAAAAGGUGCCGGAAGAAGCUAUUGAAAGCCUAGGCAUAGACUCGGAUAUGGACUGUGAGAAAGAAGUUAGGAGAAAUCUCUAAGGUCGAAAGCGAAAGUGAAACCUAGAAGAAACUUAGACUCGGAUACGGACUGUGGGGAGAAGCCAGGAGAAAUGAGGGAGGAAUAUUGUUGGAAGAAAAGUUAGGAAACAUACCAGGUAGAGAAAAAUAUGUUAGGGAGGAUGAAGCCGCGGGGGCAGGCCGAGGCGGAAAUGUAAGCUAUGUUGGAAUUCUUCAAGUCAGCCCGGGGAGCAAAAGGCGAAAAGUUAAAACUAGAGGCGGACGCAUAAGCCAGGUUGGAAUCCGUCAGAUUAGCCCGGGGAGCAAAAGACAGGAAGCCAAACCGAAAGGCGGAGACGUGAGCCAGGUUGAAUUCGCCAGGUUAGCCUGGAGAACUUGGACUGAAUGCCGGUGGCGGAAACGUGAGCUGGGCUGUGUGAUUCGUGGAAGCCGCCGCGUGCAGAGAGAGCACGGGGCGUGAAUAGAUAGGGAACGCGGGGCUGGCGCAAAGGCUGUGGUGCGGGCGCGAAGGGCGUGGAGACAGCUGAGCACGCGAAGCCGAGCCACGCAGAGCCGGGAAGCCGCCGCGGGGGAGGUGCCGAGAAGCAGCCUCGGGGCGGGCGCCGGGAAGCCGCGGGGAUAAGAGAAACAGAAGUUUAGAAGUAAAAUGAGAGAAAUAGGAAUGCUGGCAGAUAGAAGUAAAAUAGGAGAAAUAGGAAUGCCUGGAGAUAGAGAAAUAGAAAAAAAAAAAAAUAAGGCCUCCCCACAACACAGCAAUGAGAGCUUGGAUUCGGUCUGCCUGAUUAGUAAGACGAUAAGCACCUGUGGGCGGCUAGCAGCUUAUGCGCCACAGGUCACCGAAGACAGGCACGAAUUAACAUCAAUAAGUCUCCCCACAAUAUGGCAAUGAGAAGGCUUGGAUUCGGUUUGCCUGAUUGGUAGGGCUUGUAAGCACCUGCAGGCAGUUCUAGCAGAGCAGAGCAUGCGCUGCAGGGCACCGAACACAGGCACGCAUCAGCGCCUAAAAACCUCCUCACAACAUGGUGAAGAGAGGACCUGGAUUUGGUUUGCCUGAUUGGUAGGGCUUGUAAGCACCUGUGGGCAACUCUAGCAAGCAGAGCAGAGUGUGUGCCGCGGGGCACCGAAGACAGGCGCGUAUCAACGCCAAAAAUAAAAAGAAAGGGGGAUCUGUGGGGAGCAACUGGGACUAGACUAUUACUCGAAUUAAGACUUAUUUUAUGCAUCUGCUCUCAUACAAUAUGGCGCUGGGAGAGGAGGAAACAGCUUCUACACAGCUGCCUCCAGUUCAACCAAUAAACAGCAGGACCUGCUCCUGAUUGGAGGAGAGCAGCAUACUCGGCGUGUGGGUAGCAGAGUUGGGAUUGGUGGAAGAGGACUAUAAAGGAGGAGAGAGACAACAUGCACCAGGAACAUCUGAGGGAACACCUGAGCAGCCCCUGAGAGAGCCGGCCGGUGGUGUGCCACUCCCCCGCGGAAGUGGGGAAAGUGGCUAGGGGGAACAGCCCUUCCACGGAGGUGGAAUGGACGGUAGCCAACCCGGGAAGAACCAGCAGCAAACCCGGGGAGGGCCGAGCAGACAAAAGAACAGUGCAGGGUCCUGUGUCGUUCCUCCACGAAGACGGGGAGCGACAGCAUGGACCAAACUUCUUCUCUUCAGGAGAAUUUUCUUUUCUUUUUAAAGAUUUAUUUAUUUAUUUGAAAGGCAGAGUUACAGAGAGGCAAAGGCAGAGAAAGAGAAAGGUCUUCCAUCUGCUGGUUUACUUCCCAGAUGGCUGCAAUGACUGGAGCAGGGCGGUUCUGAAGCCAAGAGCCAGGAGCUUCCUCCAGGUCUCCCACAUGGGUGCAGGGACCCAAGCACUUGGGCCAUCUUGCACUGCUUUCCCAGGCCAUAGCAGAGAGCUGGAUCAGAAGUGCAGCAGCCGGGACUCGAACCAGUGCCCAUAUGGGAUGAUGGCACUGCAGGCGGCGGCUUUACCCACUAGGCCACAGCGCCGGCCCCUUCAGGAGAAUUUUCUAACAGGCCUUCUCAAAUGCUCAGUGCUCUACAUCAUGAUGGUGCACCCAGUUCAAAGUGAGACUCCGACACUGACACAGUGAUACUUAUAUGAGAUUAUGAAGACCUGAGAUGCAGUUGUAACUGGCCCACUGCCAUUUCUCUAGUGGGGAGUGCAAAGAACUGGGAAGUGGGAGACUGGAGGCUCUCUAAAUUCCCAAAGCUCACUCACUCUCUUGUCGAAUAAUUCAAGCAAGUUAGCAUCACUCCCCCCAUCUCAUUCCACGUGAUGUGGUGAUGCAGGGGCAACAACUGGACAGCCUUAGCCUUUGGAGGUAAGCAUGGAAACAGCAAGUCCACAGAUGCAAGGACAGGACCGGGGACAGUGUCUUCUAUUGUAAAAGAUAAGUGCAGAAAAUGCACCAAAGAGGCAGUCCACUGAAACACAGCUAAGAAAACUUCCCCAAUUCCUAGUUAGGAAUGUCCUACAUAGGGAGGUCUCUUUAGGAUGAAGAUGGAGAAAAACUAUCCCCUCAAGGGGCAUGAAUUGAAGAUGCCCUUGCAAGGUUUUAUCUAUGUGGGGAGCAACUCGGACUAGACUAAGUUACUGGAAUUAAGACUUAUUCUAUGCAUCUGCUCUCCCACAAUAUGGCGCUGGGAGAGGAGUAAACAACUUCUACACAGCUGCCUCUUGCCAGUUUGACUGACAAGCUGCAGGAGCUGAUCCUGCUCCUGAUUGAAGGAGAGCAGCGUGCUCGGCAUGUGGGCAGCCGAGUUGGGAUUGGUGGAAGAGGACUAUAAAGGAGGAGAGAGACAACACGCACCAGGAACAUCCAGAUAACAUCUGAGCAGCCCCCGAGAGAGCCGGCCGGCGGUGUGCCGCUCCCCCGCGGAAGUUGGGAAAGUUGGAAGGGGAGCCGCCCCUCCACGGAGGUGGAGGGGUCAGCAGCCAACCCGGGAAGGACCAGCAGCAAACCCGGGAAGGGCCGAGCAGACAAAAGAACAGCGCAGGGUCCUGUGUUGUUCCUCCGCGAAUGGGGGAGCAACAAUCUAGAGUAAAGAGAAUAUUUGUUUGCUUCUCAACAAAAACAGUGGCUAACGCAUGGAGCACUCACUAAGUGCCAGACCCUGAGCUAGGCAUUUUGUUUAUGUUACUGUAUUUGAUCAUGCAUCAACCCUGAUGAUGUCAUUUCUAUUUUAAAGAUGAGGAAGCUGAGGCAUAGAGAGGUGAAGCAACCAACCCCCAAGUCCACAGCUAUGAAGCUGCAGAAGCAGCACUGAAUUCAGGAAGUCUGGGCGAAGCAUUGGAAUCAUGCGACACAAGUAUUUCUCCACGUCUGCACUAAUGACAAUGGGGGCUGGGUAACUCUGUUGUGAGACUGGCCUAGGCAUUGUAGGAUAUUUACCAGCAUCCUUUGCCCCUACCCACUAGAUACCAGUAGUAUUCUUUCCCCAGAGGGAGCAGCCAAAAGUGUCUCCAGACAUUGUCAAAAUUGCCUCCUAAUGAGAGCAACUCAUUGGCAUUACAAGUCCCCACAGUCUGGCAGUGGCCACUAUCACAGUUCUGAUCAGCAGUUCUCCCUGGCUUCCUGAGUUAUAAAGGAUGAUGCUGUGUUUAGGCAUUACUAAUCUAAUAUAGAUACAAUUCUCAGAAAGCUCCAGGAUCAUAGUAGGCUCAAAUUAAGUAUUGACCCUUACUCUUCCUGUUUUGGUUGUUCAUUGGAAAGAUAACUUAGCAGGGUGGAAUGGAGGAGGCUCUGUGGUAGACACCAGACACUAUGAGGAGUGAUUGUGCCCAUUCUUACAUAAUCAAGACCACAGCUGCAGAGAAAAUGUUGAGCCUAAGUGACCAGCUCCAGCUGUGAUGCCCAACGGUGGCAGAUUUGUAAACAAAAUUAAAAUAUUAGUUUUGUUCAGGCAGAAAAUAAAAUGAUCAGGAAAAAAUUAAUUAAAUAACUGAAAUUAAUUUCAGUUAAGUCAUUCUGAGACCGUAAUACUUUUCCCAUUCUUGCAAGCAAUCUUUUUUCUUGGCGUUCUGGAUGGUUCCCGCCAUAGCACAGUCACCCCUGGACUUUCUGGAGCAUGUCUCAUGCCAGGUAAUGGCUUGAGGUAGAGUAAAGGUAGGGAGGUCUGCGCCGGAGAAGGAAAAGAAGACCAGAAUGGUGUGCGAAGGGUAUCAUCACAUUUUGUUGACCAGUUAUUUGUAGGGAAUGAAUCAACAAGUAGGCAGCCAUCAAAUGACCAAAAGAAAGGGAAGCCAAAGUUAGGGAGUCUGGAGUGCCGACUCUCCUGUGUGAGCUCAGCGUUGGAAUUCAUUCCAGAAACAACCACAAAAGGCUUUCAGGAAAUGUAGAGUCACUUAGACACCCUCAAGACAAUGUGUGGACUGCCAGGCACUAUGCACCCUAAGACCACUAAAACAAAGACUGACAGAUGGUCAGGGUUCAAUGGCAUCGGGUAUUUUUUUUUUUUUUAAGAUUUAUUUUGUUUAUUUGAAAGACAGAAUCACAGAGAGAGGUAGAGACAGAGAGAGAGGUCUUCCAUCCGCUGGUUCACUCCCCAGAUGGCUGCAACAGCCGGAGCUGCGCCAAUUCGAAGGCAGGAGCCAGGAGCUUCUUCCAGGUCUCCCACAUGGGUACAGGGGCCCAAGGACUUGGGCCAUCUUCUACUGCUUUCCCAGGCCACCGCAGAGAGUUGGAUCCGAAGAAGAGCAGCCAGGACUAGAACCAGCACCCAUAUGGAUUGCCGGCACUUCAGGCCAGGGCAUUAAUCCACUGUGCCACAGCGCUGGCCUCGGCUAUUUUAAAUUAAAAAAAAAAAAUCACGAAUCCAGAGAACUUGAGAACACAGGGCAUGCAAAAAUCUUUGACCAUGUUCAUUAAAAGUGUUGUGUUAGCUUUGUAAUGUUCACAGACUUGGAAAGUCUGGAUGUUUUGUAGGUUAGAUAGUAAAAAAAAUUCAAUUCGGCUGGCGCCGCGGCUCACUAGGCUAAUCCUCCGCCUUGCGGCACCGGCACACCGGAUUCUAGUCCCGGUCGGGGCACCGGAUUCUGUCCCGGUUGCCCCUCUUCCAGGCCAGCCCUCUGCUGUGGCCAGGGAGUGCAGUGGGGGAUGGCCCAGGUGCUUGGGCCCUGCACCCCAUGGGAGACCAGGAAAAGCACCUGGCUCCUGGCUCCUGCCAUCGGAUCAGCGCGGUGCGCCGGCCGCAGCGCGCCGGCCGCGGCGGCCAUUGGAGGGUGAACCAACGGCAAAGGAAGACCUUUCUCUCUGUCUCUCUCACUGUCCACUCUGCCUGUCAAAAAAAAAAUAAAUAAAUAAAUAAAAUCAAUUCACUGAAAUUAAAGGACCACCUUUCCUUGGGCCCAGUUAGCCUCCCUGGCUCUCGGUGUUUUUAUAUGAAAGCACAACCAGAUUGUACAUGGCUUUACCCUUGUCACAUCUGAUAUGUAAUCUAGUUCUCCUAACACCCAGAGAGGGGUUAUUUCUGUCCUUAAUCAACAGGUGAAGUUGAAGCUCAGAGAAACUUAGUCACUUAAGCAAAGGCAGGUACACUAUGGUUGUACACCAGGCUCUUUAGUUCAAGUCCUGUGCUCUUCUGCUAUCCUCCUCCUGAAAAGUAGAGGUCACCACUCUGAGGCCUCUUUCAGCUCCAAAAUGCCAGGAUUCUCGUGGGCUCUGUGUUUUUUUUAAAGAUUUAUUUGAAACUCAGCGUUACGGCCAGUGCCGCGGCUCGCUAGGCUAAUCCUCCGCCUGUGGCGCCGGCACCCCAGGUUCUAGUCCCGGUUGGGACACCGGAUUCUGUCCUGGUUGUUCCUCUUCCAGUCCAGCUCUCUGCUAUGGCCCGGGAGUGCAGUGGAGGAUGGCCCAAGUCCUUAGGCCCUGCACCCGCAUGGGAGACCAAGAGGAAGCACCUGGCUCCUGGCUUUGGAUCAGCACAGCACGCUGGCCGCAACAUGCUGGCCAUAGCGGCCACUUGGGGGGUGAACCAACGGAAAAAGGAAGACCUUUCUCUCUGUCUCUCUCUCUCUCACUGUCUAAC
Molecule: non-coding RNA, 13094 nt
Organism: Oryctolagus cuniculus (rabbit)
Lineage: Eukaryota; Metazoa; Chordata; Mammalia; Lagomorpha; Leporidae
Source: RefSeq, a predicted model, not a curated record